This 391-nucleotide ribosomal RNA is filed under the name Chrysophyceae sp. Its description in RNAcentral is "partial small subunit ribosomal RNA". It matches the Rfam family "Eukaryotic small subunit ribosomal RNA", at positions 582 to 975 of the family's 1831-position model. The record is from RNAcentral. Lineage: Eukaryota; Chrysophyceae.
AUUCCAGCUCCAAUAGCGUAUACUAAAGUUGUUGCAGUUAAAAAGCUCGUAGUUGAAUUUCUGGUCGUGGCGACCGGUCUGCCCCUCACGGGGUGUGCACCUGGUCUCUGCGUCCAUCCUCGGGGAGAGCGCGUCUGGCAUUCAGUUGUCGGGCGCGGGAUCCUCGUCAUUUACUGUGAGCAAAAUAGAGUGUUCAAAGCAGGCUUAGGCCGUUGAAUACAUUAGCAUGGAAUAAUAAGAUAGGACCUUGGUCUAUUUUGUUGGUUUGCAUUCCAAGGUAAUGAUUAAUAGGGAUAGUUGGGGGUAUUCGUAUUCAAUUGUCAGAGGUGAAAUUCUUGGAUUUAUGGAAGACGAACUACUGCGAAAGCAUUUACCAAGGAUGUUUUCAUUA